CCUACUGGCGGCAGCAGUGAGGAAUAUUGGUCAAUGGCCGGAAGUCUGAACCAGCCAAGUCGCGUGAGGGACGACUGCCCUAUGGGUUGUAAACCUCUCUUAUAAGGGAAGAAGAAAUGCUACGUGUAGCAUGAUGCCUGUACCUUAUGAAUAAGCAUCGGCUAACUCCGUGCCAGCAGCCGCGGUAAUACGGAGGAGGCGCUCGUUAUCCGGCUUUGAUGGGGGGAAAGGGUGCGUAGGCGGUUUUUUAAGUGAGUGGGUAGACGUCGGGGCUUCACCUUGAGUUGCCAUUCAUACUGUCAGCCUCGAUUUCAGCCGAGGUAGGCGGAAUCCGUUCCGUAGCGGU
This 346-nucleotide ribosomal RNA is filed under the name uncultured bacterium. RNAcentral describes it as "partial 16S ribosomal RNA". It matches the Rfam family "Bacterial small subunit ribosomal RNA", at positions 338 to 682 of the family's 1533-position model. The record is from RNAcentral.